Molecule: long non-coding RNA, 294 nt
Organism: Sesamum indicum (sesame)
Lineage: Eukaryota; Viridiplantae; Streptophyta; Magnoliopsida; Lamiales; Pedaliaceae
Source: RefSeq, a predicted model, not a curated record
UUUCCUUCGUUCCUUGAGGAUUUGUUGGGAAUGUAUUUCACUGGAAACGAGCUACUGUAGUCCCUCCCCUUGGCGCAGCAAAUUAUUCCGCUUUUCCUUUUUACCCUAAAUAUUAAAUCUUUAAAAAGAAAGAGGGAAAGACAGAAGAACAUAGGGCAGAGAAUGAAGAAGAUACCGACCAGGGGAUUAGAAAGACUCGGAAUUGGAGUUUGAUUGCAGUUGCAUGGAUGAAGUUCCCGGGAAAGUAAGCCAUGUUUGGACGCUGAGGAAUGGAAGGGAGACUGAAACCCUAAU